This 640-nucleotide ribosomal RNA is filed under the name uncultured bacterium. RNAcentral describes it as "bacterial SSU rRNA". It matches the Rfam family "Bacterial small subunit ribosomal RNA", at positions 202 to 842 of the family's 1533-position model. The record is from RNAcentral.
GAAAGAUUCAUCGGAAGAGGAUGGGCAUGCGGCGCAUUAGCUAGACGGCGGGGUAACGGCCCACCGUGGCGACGAUGCGUAGGGGUUCUGAGAGGAAGGUCCCCCACACUGGUACUGAGACACGGACCAGACUCCUACGGGAGGCAGCAGUGAGGAAUAUUGGUCAAUGGGAGAGAUCCUGAACCAGCCAAGUCGCGUGAGGGAAGACGGCCCUAUGGGUUGUAAACCUCUUUUGUCGGAGAACAAAACCCGGGACGUGUCCCGGACUGCGUGUAUCCGAAGAAAAAGCAUCGGCUAACUCCGUGCCAGCAGCCGCGGUAAUACGGAGGAUGCGAGCGUUAUCCGGAUUUAUUGGGUUUAAAGGGUGCGUAGGCGGUCCGUUAAGUCAGCGGUAAAAUUGCGGGGCUCAACCCCGUCGAGCCGUUGAAACUGGCAGACUUGAGUUGGCGAGAAGUACGCGGAAUGCGCGGUGUAGCGGUGAAAUGCAUAGAUAUCGCGCAGAACUCCGAUUGCGAAGGCAGCGUACCGGCGCCAGACUGACGCUGAGGCACGAAAGCGUGGGGAUCGAACAGGAUUAGAUACCCUGGUAGUCCACGCAGUAAACGAUGAAUGCUGGUUGUCCGGGUCGAAUGAGAUCUGG